RNAcentral lists this ribosomal RNA (460 nucleotides) under uncultured bacterium. Its description in RNAcentral is "partial 16S ribosomal RNA". It matches the Rfam family "Bacterial small subunit ribosomal RNA", at positions 338 to 795 of the family's 1533-position model. The record is from RNAcentral.
CCUACGGGUGGCAGCAGUGAGGAAUAUUGCUCAAUGGGCGCAAGCCUGAACCAGCCAAGUCGCGUGAGGGAAGACGGCCCUACGGGUUGUAAACCUCUUUUGCCGGGGAGCAAGCCUGAGCACGUGUUCCCCGGCGGAGAGUACCCUGAGCAAACGCAUCGGCUAACACCGUGCCAGCAGCCGCGGUAAUACGGAGGCUGCGAUCGUCCUCCGGAUUUAUUGGGUUUAACGGGUGCGCCGGCGGGCGGUUAAGCCGGCGGUAAAAAUUCAGGGCUCACCCCUGUCGAGCCGUCGGAACUGGCAGUCUGGAGUGGGCGAGAAGUAUGCGGAAUGCGUGGUGUAGCGGUGAAAUGCAUAGAUAUCACGCAGAACGCCGAUUGCGAAGGCAGCAUACCGGCGCCCAACUGACGCUGAGGCACGAAAGCGUGGGGAUCGAACAGGAGUAGAUACCCUAGUAGUC